UACGGGGGGGGGCAAGCGUUGUUCGGAAUUACUGGGCGUAAAGGGCUCGUAGGCGGCCAACUAAGUCAGACGUGAAAUCCCCAGGCUCAACCUGGGAACUGCGUCUGAUACUGGAUGGCUUGAAUCCGGGAGAGGGAUGCAGAAUUCCAGGUGUAGCGGUGAAAUGCGUAGAUAUCUGGAGGAACACCCGUGGCUAAGGCGGCUCUCUAGUACGGUACUGACGCUGAGACGCGAAAGCGUGGGGAGCAAACGGG
RNAcentral lists this ribosomal RNA (254 nucleotides) under uncultured bacterium. Its description in RNAcentral is "partial 16S ribosomal RNA". It matches the Rfam family "Bacterial small subunit ribosomal RNA", at positions 524 to 776 of the family's 1533-position model. The record is from RNAcentral.